ACAUACGACCAUAGGGUGUGGAAAACAGGGCUUCCCGUCCGCUCAGCCGUACUCAAGCCACACGCCGGUGAGUUAGUAGUUGGGUGGGUGACCACCAGCGAAUCCUCACUGUUGUAUGUU
RNAcentral lists this ribosomal RNA (120 nucleotides) under Penicillium flavigenum. Lineage: Eukaryota; Fungi; Ascomycota; Eurotiomycetes; Eurotiales; Aspergillaceae. RNAcentral also lists the same sequence under 1 other name. The record is from RNAcentral.